GCGCCGCCGUCGGUAAGCUUCGGUUUUCCGUAAUUUUUUGGCCCCCCGAGGGCCGUGGGUUUGUUUAUUCACAGAAACCAAUGCGAGUGUGGCCGAAUUCGGUCGAAAACGGCCGAAAACGACCAACCUGAGGCAAACCGCCGCCGCAAGCGGCGGCGCCGUCGCCGGAGCACGGCGGAGCUGCCGUGCCGGAGUUGCGAUAUUGGUCGAUACUGUAACGGCCCCGAAAAUUUAA
RNAcentral lists this long non-coding RNA (235 nucleotides) under Carica papaya (papaya). RNAcentral describes it as "long non-coding RNA (CPAP_LNC014343)". The record is from RNAcentral. Lineage: Eukaryota; Viridiplantae; Streptophyta; Magnoliopsida; Brassicales; Caricaceae.